RNAcentral lists this ribosomal RNA (1531 nucleotides) under Salmonella enterica subsp. enterica serovar Muenchen. RNAcentral's name for it is "partial 23S ribosomal RNA". It matches the Rfam family "Bacterial large subunit ribosomal RNA", at positions 711 to 2141 of the family's 2925-position model. RNAcentral also lists the same sequence under 8 other names. Lineage: Bacteria; Pseudomonadati; Pseudomonadota; Gammaproteobacteria; Enterobacterales; Enterobacteriaceae. The record is from RNAcentral.
AGACCCGAAACCCGGUGAUCUAGCCAUGGGCAGGUUGAAGGUUGGGUAACACUAACUGGAGGACCGAACCGACUAAUGUUGAAAAAUUAGCGGAUGACCUGUGGCUGGGGGUGAAAGGCCAAUCAAACCGGGAGAUAGCUGGUUCUCCCCGAAAGCUAUUUAGGUAGCGCCUCGUGAAUUCAUCUCCGGGGGUAGAGCACUGUUUCGGCUAGGGGGCCAUCCCGGCUUACCAACCCGAUGCAAACUGCGAAUACCGGAGAAUGUUAUCACGGGAGACACACGGCGGGUGCUAACGUCCGUCGUGAAGAGGGAAACAACCCAGACCGCCAGCUAAGGUCCCAAAGUCAUGGUUAAGUGGGAAACGAUGUGGGAAGGCCCAGACAGCCAGGAUGUUGGCUUAGAAGCAGCCAUCAUUUAAAGAAAGCGUAAUAGCUCACUGGUCGAGUCGGCCUGCGCGGAAGAUGUAACGGGGCUAAACCAUGCACCGAAGCUGCGGCAGCGAACGUAUCACUUAAAGCGAUUCAGCGGGUUACGAUUGACGGAGCGAAGCGACGUCAAAGCGUAUACAAAGUCGAGUCGGUUUAAGGAUACGUUCGUUGGGUAGGGGAGCGUUCUGUAAGCCUGUGAAGGUGGCCUGUGAGGGUUGCUGGAGGUAUCAGAAGUGCGAAUGCUGACAUAAGUAACGAUAAAGCGGGUGAAAAGCCCGCUCGCCGGAAGACCAAGGGUUCCUGUCCAACGUUAAUCGGGGCAGGGUGAGUCGACCCCUAAGGCGAGGCCGAAAGGCGUAGUCGAUGGGAAACGGGUUAAUAUUCCCGUACUUGGUGUUACUGCGAAGGGGGGACGGAGAAGGCUAUGUUGGCCGGGCGACGGUUGUCCCGGUUUAAGCGUGUAGGUGUGUGUUCCAGGUAAAUCCGGUUCACUUUAACACUGAGGCGUGACGACGAGGCACUACGGUGCUGAAGCAACAAAUGCCCUGCUUCCAGGAAAAGCCUCUAAGCAUCAGGUAACAUCAAAUCGUACCCCAAACCGACACAGGUGGUCAGGUAGAGAAUACCAAGGCGCUUGAGAGAACUCGGGUGAAGGAACUAGGCAAAAUGGUGCCGUAACUUCGGGAGAAGGCACGCUGACACGUAGGUGAAGUGAUUUACUCAUGGAGCUGAAGUCAGUCGAAGAUACCAGCUGGCUGCAACUGUUUAUUAAAAACACAGCACUGUGCAAACACGAAAGUGGACGUAUACGGUGUGACGCCUGCCCGGUGCCGGAAGGUUAAUUGAUGGGGUCAGCGCAAGCGAAGCUCCUGAUCGAAGCCCCGGUAAACGGCGGCCGUAACUAUAACGGUCCUAAGGUAGCGAAAUUCCUUGUCGGGUAAGUUCCGACCUGCACGAAUGGCGUAAUGAUGGCCAGGCUGUCUCCACCCGAGACUCAGUGAAAUUGAACUCGCUGUGAAGAUGCAGUGUACCCGCGGCAAGACGGAAAGACCCCGUGAACCUUUACUAUAGCUUGACACUGAACAUUGAGCCUUGAUGUGUAG